CACAAAUCAAACAUUUUGUAAGUUACAGAUUAUUUCGAGAUCACAAAUAAAAAAUUCUAUAGGUAUCAUAAAUAAAAAAUUCUAUAAGUAACAGAUUAUCAAACUUUAAUGUCACAGACCAAAAUGAGGUCACAAAUUAUUUUUUUGUCAUAGAUUAUCAAAUUUUAAGGUCACAGACCAAUUCAUUGGUCACAUAUACCAAACACUCCAUUCUCGAUCCUAAUCCACUACCAAUAAUUGGUCAUAGAGCAAUCAAAUAGUUGGUCACAAUCACUAUUACACCCCGCCCCUGUCACAACACCACCUACAACAAUCGCCACCACCAGAUCCAAUUAGCUGCCAACAAAAACCAUGGCAAUCGACUCCAUCAGCUCUCUAGCCACCACCAACCACCUCCACCGUUGCCAAAAGCCACCACGACCAUUACCACAUACACACCAGCAAUACCUAACCCGUAAUGUCUCCACCACCAGGAACAACCACAGCACAGCCAAAACAACCACCAAACACACCCAAUAAUGCACCUUCCAAUCUCACCAACACCACCCAAAUCAUCGCUGUCAAGUGCCAACACAAGCAUUGUUGCUACAUUACCACCACCGCCGUCCUACCCAGAUCCGCCCUACCACAACACUACCACCGUCGCCUGCACCACACCACACACCACACAACCGUCGCCACCCACAGAUCCCCUCCACAAAACCACAAUAAAAACAACCACCACCAUACAACCAUCGCUUAUACCACACCACCACACAACAUUUGCCUUUACAUCAAAUAACCACCCACAAAUUAGAAAUAUCUACACCACCACCACUUUAUCAAACAUUGAAAUCCUAAAUCACCACCUGCACAUCAGAUAACCACCCACUGAUUAGAGUACCUACACCACCACUGCCUUAUCGAACACUGAAAUCCGAUACAUAAGCUGACCCACCGGCUUCAACUCGGAAUUAUGAACUGGUAUUGCUUGAACUAGGCUUAUCGUCCAUCGCCACAUCCACACAGAAGCCAAGCAAAUGCAAAAGCAUCAGAGAAAACCAUGAAUCACCUCAAUCUGUAUGUACCGACGAAACCACGGAUCUGGGCGUAGAGGCGUCGACGCUAGAAUUGUACGCUGCUUGCUGCUCCUAGGGGCGAGCUUCGAUGUGGUCUUCGGCGAUGAUGGCCAUAUGUGACGGGGAGGGAGAGAGAGAGAGAGAGAGAUGAUGGGAAGAAGACAGAAAUUAGGGAAGAAAAUAAUAAGGGUUUUAAUUGGGUGGAUGGAAUAUGGUG
RNAcentral lists this long non-coding RNA (1275 nucleotides) under Olea europaea subsp. europaea. The record is from RNAcentral. Lineage: Eukaryota; Viridiplantae; Streptophyta; Magnoliopsida; Lamiales; Oleaceae.